GUGACUUGAGACCUUGGAAUUCAUCUAAUACAUAUGAAUUUGGACUUCUCUAUGAAGACUUGGCUUGGUUACUUUGGGUUCAUCUGAUGCAUGAAUUAUGGUUUGCUUAUUCUGGCUUGCUUGAGGCUUAAUCCAAAGGAAGGAAAUCUUGUUUGACUUAUGUCAUAAAGCUUGUUAUCUCUUGGUUAGAUCUUUCCUCCUUAGUUUUUACUUUAUGCUUUAGGAUAGUCUCUUCUUCU
Molecule: long non-coding RNA, 239 nt
Filed under: Lathyrus oleraceus (garden pea)
Lineage: Eukaryota; Viridiplantae; Streptophyta; Magnoliopsida; Fabales; Fabaceae
Description: Pisum sativum (pea) long non-coding RNA (PSAT_LNC010068)
Source: RNAcentral